CACAAUUCCUAUAAAGGAAGUAUUUUAUUUCCAUUUUAUACAAGAUGAAACUCCGGUUCACAGAAGGCAAGGAAUUUUUGAAAUCAUUCUGGUAAUAAGUGACACAGUCAGGAUUCAGAUCCAGAUCUGAAUGAAGAAAAAAAAUCCAUCAUUUUUCUACUGUAUCACUCACAAUUCAGCAGCCUACCUCUGGAGACAUGGUGGCCCCUCAAUGCAUUUGUCCAAUAUGUGAGGUGAGUGAGUGUGGAGUAAAUGUGGAUUUUCUACAGGAAUUGGGGCAUGAGAAAUUCUCAAAAAAAUGCUUGUGGCUUAGGUGAAGGACAGGCCAGAUGUGGAACACACACGGCCCAGCGUCUGGGUCUAUCUGGAAAUAACUGCUUGGCACAGCGACUUCUUGCAGGCAGGCUCUUAGGAGUCUGUGUGGAAGGAGACUUGGACAAGCAGAAGUAUGCAGAGUUGGAGUGGGGUGAGGCCUGGACACUGGCGUAAGAGAUCAGAGUAGGCUGUGGACGAUGUUAAAUGACUUGACGGUGGUCAAUUAGAUGGAGAGGGCAAGAACCUUGAAGGUCCUGACACUUGUUGAAUGGAACUUAAGUAUUCUCAGGAGUGAUCAAAUUGGAGACUGGACAUCAAAAACUAUACCUGAUAUUAAAAACAGCAACAAAAGGCUGAGCUCACACUUGUAAUCCCAGCACUUUGGGAGGCCGAGGUGGACAGAUCACGAGGUCAGGAGAUCGAGACCAUCCUGGCUAACACAGUGAAACCCCGUCUCUACUAAAAAUACAAAACAUUAGCCAGGUUUGGUGGCAUGUGCCUGUAGUCCCAGCUACUCGGGAGGCUGAGGCAGGACAAUCGCUUGAACCCGGGAGGCGGAGGUUGCAGUGAGCCGAGAUCACACCACUGCACUCCAGCCUGGGCAACAGAGCGAGACUCUGUCUCAAAAAAAAAAAAUUUAUUUAUUUAUUUA
RNAcentral lists this long non-coding RNA (967 nucleotides) under Homo sapiens (human). Its description in RNAcentral is "HSALNT0191768". Lineage: Eukaryota; Metazoa; Chordata; Mammalia; Primates; Hominidae. The record is from RNAcentral.